UCCCUGAUCUAAUGGAUCUGAUUCUCUUCUUCUCUCACCUAGAAAAGGCUAGCCUAUCUUAUCUUCUUUUUCUUCUUCUUCUGCCUCUUGUUUCUCUUCUUUCCCGAAAUCUUCACAGCCGAAACUUUAAUCCAAGAAAACCAUUUCCUCCUUAUCUCUCCAAUCCAUCUGCUAUAUCACGAAGUGAUAUUUAUGAACCAAAAUCCUUUUACUCUUCAUCUCAAAAAUCCAUCUGCUAUUUCAAAUAAACUAACAGAUCUUCAUGAACCAAAACAAUUAACAGAUCUACUCCAUGUAUUUCUUGUUCUACUUUGGUAUUACCUAGAUCCGUAAAUUCUCAUAUAGAAAAAGAUUUUUGUUGAUAAUGUAAGGUGCUCCUUAUACAGGGUUCGUUUUCUUCUUCAAUAUAGUACUAGAUGAGUCAUCUUCACCUAACUAUACUUGAAUGAAUGGUACAUAUUUGAAUUGGGAAAAGUUGAGUAAAAGGAGUCCAGGAACUUUGCUUCAAAAUGGAGACAUUGUAUCUUUUGAUGUGGCUCCUCAACAUGGAUUGAUUAGACCUAUUUUCAUGUAAUGUACGUUUGCUUCUGGUGUGCGUAGUUCUGAUGUUUAUUUGUGUGAAAAGAUGUAUCUAGUCAAUGAGAUGUACUUCGCUAUCACUCCUGACAGGACAACUGCUGAUCCAGUAUGUCUUUAAACCAAAUGACUUAUAGAAAGGGAGGGACCAGCAUUGAAGACCUUGCUGAGAAACUGAAAUGAUAAUCAAGGUGAAUGUCACUAACUCAAUUUUCUGGGUUAGAGGUUAUCGUCAAGGCCACUCUAUCCUUCGAUCUCCACCGAUUGUGUUGACUUUAUAUAGUUCUGAAUCUACCUGGUGGAGAUUGAUAUAUUCAAAGGAAUAACUGAUGAAGAAGCUACUAAAGUUGUUGUCCCCCAAGGUUGCAGAUAAAGUGGCUUCGAUGGAAAAAGUGAAGAAGAUACACGAGAUUUUUUGCAAAAAUGACUGUAUCAUGCUGGAGCCAUGUGACAUCCUAUCGGCAGAAUUUGGAGUAGCUCUUACAGUGUGAGUGCACAAUAUCUUCAAAUUUGGAUAACUGAGUUUACGUCGCAACCACAAAAUGUAGGUCAUAGAGCAAAGCCUUACGAUCACAAGGUGAACAUUUUCAGUUUCACAAUUGUGUUGUAGGAGAUGCUAACUAGAAAGGUAAAAAAUCUAGUAAAAUUUUGUUUGGAAACUGAACUUGGUGAAAAUUCUUAAGUAAAAUAUACACUUCACAUCAAAUAUACAGUUUUACACUUUUAUUAAUUGUUACUAUUUGCCCUGUAACAGGCAGCUUCUUUACGAGUACUUAUCAUACUUAUCAUGCCUACGAUUUUCACUGCCUAUAUAUGGUUUAUUUCUUUGUCUCAAUGAAGUCACUGUUGUUGCUGUUGUUGUCUUGAUGAUGGGUCUACCUCCGUGUAUAUUAUUAUCGACUAGUCAUAUAAAGUGACUUUUUACUCUUCUUCUGAAUGUAGUUCGAUACCUUCAUGGAUGCCGUCACUCUCUUCCCGAUGUUCUCAUAUAUCAUAGUUGAUGGUGAGAUCAUUGUUGCUGCUGGAUAAGGAAAUGUUGGAAAGGGAUGUGCUUCUACAGGAUCUUCUCUCAAGCAAGCUGGUGCCAAGGUCCUCAUGACAGAAAUUGUAGUUGAAAUUUUUAGGACGUGUUGGUAUCACUUCUUUUUAAGAAACCUUAACAAUAGGGAGUUGAAUCCUUUUUUUUUAAUGAUUUUGGACUAAAUUUAUGAGCACAGUUCAAUGUAAUGGAGCUGUCAUUUGGUAUUAGAUGAUUCAGGUUUCAUUUGGAAUUUGAAGUUGAAUUUUAAUAUUAAUUGUCAUUUGGAUUUCACUUGAAUUUGAGAAUUUUAGUGAUUUCAUUUGAUUUUGAGAA
Molecule: long non-coding RNA, 1930 nt
Organism: Papaver somniferum (opium poppy)
Lineage: Eukaryota; Viridiplantae; Streptophyta; Magnoliopsida; Ranunculales; Papaveraceae
Exons: 8
Source: RefSeq, a predicted model, not a curated record